CUGAGUUCAAGAGGAGCCUGAACUACAUAGGGAGACCCUGUCUCAAAAAAAAAAAAGAAAAGAAAACCGACAUCCUGAUUGGAGCUUCCUGAGGCUGGAUCUGGCUCAGGGCAGGCCUCUCUGGGUGGUCUCUUGGCUCCACAGGGCGGCCUGGGCAGGCUCAGGGGAAGCUGGACUCUAAGAGACAGGGCUAGGAGCAGAGGGUGGUGAGAGCGCUGCCUCUAGGGUGCCACACUGGCCAAGGCCUGUCCCCUGCCCCUCACCAUGCUGCUGUCCCCAGUGCCAGGCUGAGUCUACCUAGACUAAGCCAGCUGGACUGCUACAUCCCUGGCCCACCCCUCCUGCUGAUGCUGUGCUGAGUCUGGGUGGCUUCAACAACGCCCUCCCCAAUGCACGCACGCACACGCAUGCACACGCACACACGCACACUCACCAAGACGACCCCAGACACUGAGCGGGGGCGGAAUGAGGCUGCUCAGUGCCCCUCUGAGGGGUCGGUGCUGGGGGAGGAUCUCCAGCCUGCUGUGUGUUAUGGGUCACAGACCCCCCAGGGCUGCCCCAGCCCAGAGCGUGCUUCUCUGAGCUGGCCCAGCUUCCCCUCCCUUCCCACCACCCCCCAAGCAUCUCCCCAUCAGUCCCAGCAGCAGGAGGGGAGACUGUUUCAAGAGCAGGAGACUGGCAGAGGGCAGGAGACACUGCACCCUGCACCCGAGGGCUGGUAACGCUGCACCCACCGCGGCUGCGUCCUGGCCAGGUGGGAGUGACACCGAGCCAAGGCAGGCAGGGACCUGAGCACAGGAGCACGCACGCGGCUUGCCGAGGGGCACAGCCGCCCAGAGCACGGCGGGGCCCCACCCAGGCGCUGCGGUCCGAGCUGGGAGGACACAGAGCAGCCAGCGCGGGACACGUGGCAGAGCUCUGAGAAAAACCAGGUCCACUUGGUGCGGGGCACAGGCCAGCUGGGGGCCGAGGUGGAGCCAGCCCUGGAGCUGGGGCCUGCAAGUCCCUCCGGCUCGCAUUUGUAGGUGCUGGGGGUCAAACCAGAGCCCCGAGUGCUCUACCCACCGCAUUUCCUGGGGCGCCUCCCACCUGUCCGGAGCCAGAGGGCCUCUCCUCCAAACCUCCACGGUGACUGCUCCGCUCUCUACCCAGACAGUCCUAAGGCUCACACAGCCCACCUGCGCGUCCAGGCAACAGCCCCGCCUGGCACUUCUGCGCCUCCUCAGAGUCCUCAUGCCUGGGCUGUGCCUGCAGCUGAGGGGAACCUUGCUUGUGGGCCUGUGGGUCUAGACAGGAACAAGCCCACCUGAAGCUGCAGGCUGGAGGGGAGAGACCCCCACCUCCUUGCUGACUGUUUCAUAUGUGUAUGUACACACACACACACACACAUACACAUGCACGCAUGCACAGAAGAGCCCGCUCUCCAAGGCCACAGGCCGCCCAUGUCACCUCUGCAGCUUGACUGCUUUAAUGCAUUAAUGGGGAAGCUGGAGGCUCCGGAGCCACAGCACUCCCAGGUGUGUCUAACAAGCGUCUUAUGGCGUCCCUGGGUGGCCCGGGAGACUCGCUCUGAUGGCUCUGAUGGCGGCGGGUCAGGCAGUGGGGCCAGUGAGCCCGAAUGUCCAGCUCCCGGCACGGUGCUUAUGGGUGUAGGAGGGUCACACUCACAGUAAAGGCUGCAAGUCGGUGCUGAGACUACACUGGGCCUUGCUGAAGUCCCCUGUGGUUCUGGCUGUCCUGGGUUCCCUGAGUGGCCUCUCUGCCUCUGCCUGGACCCUCCCAUUGAAAUAGGGUCCUGCUGAUAGGUUUCCCCGAGUCCUGGAGACCAGGUCCUUGUAGGACGUGACAGCCGCCGUGGGGAGCCAUCCUCCAGGUGUGAGCCAUCACUGUUCAGGUGUGCAUAGCAAACCUGCAGGUGCAUCUUGAUGCCUUCACAUAUAGCUAUCUUCUCUUUCAGGAUCAGUGACCCCCUAAGGUCAGGAGCCAAAUUAGAUCACCUCCAGGCCCCAGGCUCUGCCCAGCCAGGAACCCAGUUAAACUCAGGACCUGGUUCCAGGCCCCUAGGAGUUAGGAGACAGAGAGAGGUCGUAGCAACUAGUGGGAGCUGGAGAAUUACUCCUGGCAGUUCUUUCUCCUGUGACUGGCCAGGUCCAGCGUGGCCUCUGGCUCACUAGAAAGGUGAGAGUCAGUAAUUCCCAGCCCCCGCUAACCCACUCCACCCCCAACUGCUGUAGCCCAGGCCUUCCUCCUCUGCCCACCCCCUCCGGCCACAUCCCAAAUCCCCAAUCCCAGCAGCAGACCUCCGUGUUUGCCUGUUGCCAUGGUGAUGGGAUGCACCUUUCUGUUACUAUGGCAACCAGCCAGGGGUUUUUAAAAUUCAGUUGAGGUAAUUUCCACCCCUCAGUCCUCAUCUUCAGACACCUCAUUUCUUCUCUAUUCUUCUCUGAAUGUAAGAAUGUCGGGGGUGCACAACCCCCAGCCUGAAGUGGAGGGUCAGAGGAGCUGGUAGGAAGGCUUCUGCUGCCAGGUCAUCCCUGACUCUGCCACCCAGACUGGACCCUGGGGAACAGGACAGCCUUCUCCUGCCUCCUUCCCCAGGCCCAGGUCUCUGCCAGAAGAUGAGGGCUUGGCAUGGCUGAACAGGCAGAAGCCAGCACACCUGGGGGGUCUGGGAGAGGGCGCAGCCUAUGCAGCUCUGCGCCUGUGUGGGAGCCCUCCUGCAUCCCAGGCCUCAUCUGAGGAUAUCUUGAGAUAUCAGGCCCUAGGACAACAGGGCACAGAUGUUGUUUAUGUUCUGUCCUGGGCCUAAGGAGCUUAGCACAGCAGAACCCUGGGCUGGCCGGAUUUGGGCAGAGAGCAUGUGAAGGAUGGCGGGAAGGGGGUGCAGACCCUGUCCAGCUGCCCACCCUUCCCCAGUAGACUCCUCUACCCUGGGCACCUGCUUCGCUGAAUCUAACCACUGUAAAUUCACGAGGUCCCGCAUCCCCUCCUGUCCCACCCACCCGCAGGCUGGAAGAAGAGAAACUGACACCCAGCACAGACAGGGAGGUCCUCUGCCUCCCCCAAGCAGAGUAGGCUGGGCGUAGAGAUGGGGUCCCAGGCAGCGCGCACGGCCAGCCCUGCCGCGCCUGUAACUCCCGUGCCCUGGCUUGUCUCUCUGCAGUCUGAUCCCACAGGUGGGGCCUCCCUGAGAGAAGAGGUUCAGGCAGGGGAUGGUCCGGAACAGCCCUGCAGUGGGGCUUUUGCCACCACUCUGACCUGCGCUUGUUUUCCCAUCCCAUCAGUAGGCUGGGGGCUGGGGAUUUAGCUCAGCGGCACAGUGCCUGCCUGGCAAGUGUGAGGUUGUGAGUUCAAUUCCCGGUACCGGAAAAGAAAAAAAAAAAAUUAAAUACCAUCAGUAGGCUAGUCAGCCAGGUCCCUACCAUGUGAGAUGUAAAAUAUCACUGUAACUCCAGCAUCCCCGGUCCAGUUCCCCAAAGCCAGGGACUUCAGGGCCCUCAGACGGGUGUCAGAGACAAAGGUCAUAGGGCCAAGAGCUGGGGAUAUAGCUCAGUGGCAUAAAUGCUUGCCUUGCAAGCCUGAGGUCGUGAGUUCGAUUCCUACUAC
Molecule: long non-coding RNA, 3606 nt
Organism: Chinchilla lanigera (long-tailed chinchilla)
Lineage: Eukaryota; Metazoa; Chordata; Mammalia; Rodentia; Chinchillidae
Exons: 3
Source: RefSeq, a predicted model, not a curated record